RNAcentral lists this transfer RNA (71 nucleotides) under Marmota monax (woodchuck). RNAcentral's name for it is "tRNA.Ala". It matches the Rfam family "tRNA". From Rfam's summary of the family: Transfer RNA (tRNA) molecules are approximately 80 nucleotides in length. Their secondary structure includes four short double-helical elements and three loops (D, anti-codon, and T loops). The record is from RNAcentral. Lineage: Eukaryota; Metazoa; Chordata; Mammalia; Rodentia; Sciuridae.
GGGGUUGUAGCUCAGUGGUAGAGCACCCGCCUCGCUCGUGUGAGGCACUGGGUUUGAUCCUCAGCACCACA